Molecule: transfer RNA, 75 nt
Filed under: Cordylochernes scorpioides
Lineage: Eukaryota; Metazoa; Arthropoda; Arachnida; Pseudoscorpiones; Chernetidae
Description: tRNA-Thr
Source: RNAcentral
UGUCCAGGGGCGGGAAUCGAACCCACAGCCUUCUGCUUACCGGGCAGGUGCCAUGUCCACUAGGCUAUCCUGGAC